GAUGAACGCUGGCGGCGUGCCUAAUACAUGCAAGUCGAGCGAACAGACGAGGAGCUUGCUCCUCUGACGUUAGCGGCGGACGGGUGAGUAACACGUGGAUAACCUACCUAUAAGACUGGGAUAACUUCGGGAAACCGGAGCUAAUACCGGAUAAUAUAUUGAACCGCAUGGUUCAAUAGUGAAAGACGGUUUUGCUGUCACUUAUAGAUGGAUCCGCGCCGCAUUAGCUAGUUGGUAAGGUAACGGCUUACCAAGGCAACGAUGCGUAGCCGACCUGAGAGGGUGGUCGGCCACACUGGAACUGAGACACGGUCCAGACUCCUACGGGAGGCAGCAGUAGGGAAUCGUCCGCAAUGGGCGAAAGCCUGACGGAGCAACGCCGCGUGAGUGAUGAAGGUCUUCGGAUCGUAAAACUCUGUUAUGAGGGAAGAACAAAUGUGUAAGUAACUAUGCACGUCUUGACGGUACCUAAUCAGAAAGCCACGGCUAACUACGUG
This 497-nucleotide ribosomal RNA is filed under the name uncultured bacterium. RNAcentral describes it as "partial 16S ribosomal RNA". It matches the Rfam family "Bacterial small subunit ribosomal RNA", at positions 28 to 507 of the family's 1533-position model. The record is from RNAcentral.